AUUGAACGCUGGCGGCAGGCCUAACACAUGCAAGUCGAGCGGAUGAAGGGAGCUUGCUCCUGGAUUCAGCGGCGGACGGGUGAGUAAUGCCUAGGAAUCUGCCUGGUCGUGGGGGAUAACGUCCGGAAACGGGCGCUAAUACCGCAUACGUCCUGAGGGAGAAAGUGGGGGAUCUUCGGACCUCACGCUAUCAGAUGAGCCUAGGUCGGAUUAGCUAGUUGGUGGGGUAAAGGCCUACCAAGGCGACGAUCCGUAACUGGUCUGAGAGGAUGAUCAGUCACACUGGAACUGAGACACGGUCCAGACUCCUACGGGAGGCAGCAGUGGGGAAUAUUGGACAAUGGGCGAAAGCCUGAUCCAGCCAUGCCGCGUGUGUGAAGAAGGUCUUCGGAUUGUAAAGCACUUUAAGUUGGGAGGAAGGGCAGUAAGUUAAUACCUUGCUGUUUUGACGUUACCAACAGAAUAAGCACCGGCUAGCUUCGUG
RNAcentral lists this ribosomal RNA (484 nucleotides) under uncultured bacterium. RNAcentral's name for it is "partial 16S ribosomal RNA". It matches the Rfam family "Bacterial small subunit ribosomal RNA", at positions 30 to 507 of the family's 1533-position model. The record is from RNAcentral.